GAUGAAGAACGCAGCGAAAUGCGAUAAGUAAUGUGAAUUGCAGAAUUCAGUGAAUCAUCGAAUCUUUGAACGCACAUUGCGCCCGCCAGUAUUCUGGCGGGCAUGCCUGUUCGAGCGUCAUUUCAACCAUCAAGCCCCCGGCUUGUGUUGGGGACCUGCGGCUGCCGCAGGCCCUGAAAACCAGUGGCGGGCUCGCUGUCACACCGAGCGUAGUAGAUUUUCAUCUCGCUCAGGGCGUGCGGCGGGCUCCUGCCGUGAAACCCCCCACUGUAACCCCAAAGGUUGACCUCGGAUCAGGUAGGAAUACCCGCUGAACUUAAGCAUAUCAAUAAGCGGAGGA
Molecule: unclassified non-coding RNA, 340 nt
Filed under: soil metagenome
Description: partial contains 5.8S ribosomal RNA, internal transcribed spacer 2, and large subunit ribosomal RNA
Rfam family: 5.8S ribosomal RNA (bases 1-120)
Source: RNAcentral